This 376-nucleotide ribosomal RNA is filed under the name uncultured bacterium. Its description in RNAcentral is "bacterial SSU rRNA". It matches the Rfam family "Bacterial small subunit ribosomal RNA", at positions 523 to 898 of the family's 1533-position model. The record is from RNAcentral.
AUACGUAGGUGGCAAGCGUUGUCCGGAAUUACUGGGUGUAAAGGGAGCGCAGGCGGGGAGGCAAGUCAGCUGUGGAAACCAUGGGCUUAACCCAUGGAUUGCAGUUGAAACUGUCUUUCUUGAGUGGAGUAGAGGUAGGCGGAAUUCCGAGUGUAGCGGUGAAAUGCGUAGAUAUUCGGAGGAACACCAGUGGCGAAGGCGGCCUACUGGGCUCUAACUGACGCUGAGGCUCGAAAGUGUGGGGAGCAAACAGGAUUAGAUACCCUGGUAGUCCACACUGUAAACGAUGAUUGCUAGGUGUGGGGGGUCUGACCCCUUCCGUGCCGGAGUUAACGCAAUAAGCAAUCCACCUGGGGAGUACGGCCGCAAGGUUGAA